AGAUUGAACGCUGGCGGCAGGCUUAACACAUGCAAGUCGAGCGGGGAAAUGUAGCUUGCUACAUUACCUAGCGGCGGACGGGUGAGUAAUGCUUAGGAAUCUGCCUAUUAGUGGGGGACAACAUUUCGAAAGGAAUGCUAAUACCGCAUACGCCCUACGGGGGAAAGCAGGGGAUCUUCGGACCUUGCGCUAAUAGAUGAGCCUAAGUCGGAUUAGCUAGUUGGUAGGGGUAAAGGCCUACCAAGGCG
Molecule: ribosomal RNA, 248 nt
Filed under: uncultured soil bacterium
Lineage: Bacteria
Description: partial 16S ribosomal RNA
Rfam family: Bacterial small subunit ribosomal RNA
Source: RNAcentral